GACGAACGCUGGCGGCAUGCCUAAUACAUGCAAGUCGAGCGAACAGAUGAAGUGCUUGCACUUCUGACGUUAGCGGCGAACGGGUGAGUAACACGUAAGGAAUCUACCUAUAAGCGGGGGAUAACAUUCGGAAACGGGUGCUAAUACCGCAUAAUAUCUUCUUCCGCAUGGAAGAAGAUUGAAAGACGGCUCUGCUGUCACUUAUAGAUGACCUUGCGGUGCAUUAGUUAGUUGGUGGGGUAAUGGCCUACCAAGACGAUGAUGCAUAGCCGACCUGGGAGGGUGGUCGGCCACAUUGGGACUGAGACACGGCCCAAACUCCUACGGGAGGCAGCAGUAGGGAAUCUUCCGCAAUGGGCGAAAGCCUGACGGAGCAAUGCCGCGUGAGUGAAGAAGGCCUUCGGGUCGUAAAACUCUGUUAUAAGAGAAGAAUGACAUUGAAAGUAACUGUUCAAUGUGUGACGGUAUCUUACCAGAAAGGAACGGCUAAAUACGUGCCAGCCGCCGCAGUAA
This 513-nucleotide ribosomal RNA is filed under the name uncultured bacterium. Its description in RNAcentral is "partial 16S ribosomal RNA". It matches the Rfam family "Bacterial small subunit ribosomal RNA", at positions 28 to 523 of the family's 1533-position model. The record is from RNAcentral.